This is a long non-coding RNA of Dromaius novaehollandiae (emu), 2390 nucleotides long. RefSeq lists it as uncharacterized. The record is from RefSeq and is a predicted model, not a curated record. NCBI's taxonomy places the organism in Eukaryota, Metazoa, Chordata, Aves, Casuariiformes, Dromaiidae. The transcript is spliced from 2 exons.
UGUUCCUCAGGCUACAGGCCUAGUAAAGUCAACAGAAGCUACACUGGGCAUUUUGAGUGUUAGCAAAACAGCAAAAGCUCAGAAAAGGCAUUGAUUAGGUGUGUGACUGUGGGCAACUCUAAUUGCUAACCUUGUCCUUCACCUCUGGGCCUGGAUGCUUGUGCCGCCUCAGGGCUCACCUGGAGCCUUGGAGAACAUUUCAGCGCCCCGUGCCAGCAGCAGCUGGGGCAGCACCAGGGUGUCUUUCUUUGACAGGAUCGCCUGUUCGCCAGUAACCAGCAGUACCAGCCUCCCUGUACAUCAGCACUACCCAGUGCCCUGCUCUCAAAACCUUUGGCUCUGCUGCAAGACUGACGGGGCACUUCUGCUUCCUCCUCUCUGGUGACUCACUGCUGCUGCUGAGACGCUACCCCCCACCUUCCCUGCUCUCACCCAGGCUCACCCUGCCUUUUAAGUAUACGACAAAUUUCGAAACCUCAGACUAGGUUUUUAGGACUAAUCACUUUAAUAUGAGACAGAGAUUCCAGGGUUAAAUAAAGUGUAAAAUGUGGUAACUGUUUCAGACUUAACGAAAAGACCAUAUCCUUGCCAUUCCAGCAUCUCUCACCAAGAAGUCUCCAAACACGUCCUGGCUGUGAAGAUGAGAAACAGCGUUGCCAGAACCACCCCUCUGCUGUCCUCCCUUCUCCCUGCCCACCCUGCUUGGCUGAAUCAUUUAUCUCUACUAGCCCUUAUAUUACACUAUUUUGUCUUCCUGCUUCUAAUUGGCUUACAUUGCAAAUGUAAACUUAAUGACUCAAGCUUUAUAAUUGCCUUGUGUUAGUAUCUUUGUCAAGGAUAAGGUGACAUAAUGCACCUUUUGAAACCUUUAUUAAGGUGUGAUACAAUUUAGCAUAUGACAGUGAAACAUGUUAAAUGGACAAACCUUCUGUUAAUUGACGAAUUCCAGCAUGUUCUCAGCUUUCAGGAGAGGUAGUGCAUCACCCAUGUGGACACAACGCAGAUGCAGCGUCAGUGUGUUUCGUCCACACUGCCUAUCCUUGUUGUCAGUUUAAAGAUUUUGACAUCACAGCUGCCACAGUAAACUGAGAGUUGGGAUAAUUUUCUUAGGAAGAGGUGCUGUAAAGAUGUAUUCAUUAAUAUUCAUUAAUAAUUUUCCAUAAGGAAAUUAAUAAUUUUGUAUUCACAGCAGUCUGAAAGAUACACAGUAAUUAAAUGAUGGAAAGGUUUGAAUGCGUAUCUGCCUUUCAAAGAACACUGAAUGAGACUUGGGUUUUGUAGAAAAAAAUACAUGAUAUCAUAAAGACUGUCAUGAUGCAUACUUGCAAGAAGACACGUUAAGACUGCCUGUGGUGCCUUUUUCCAUUCCUUUUCUAACCUGUGUUUGAUUACACAAUUUUACCAUUCUUCUGACUUAGAAGUAGCGUAGAAGGGGUGCUAAAACUUUUCUUUCCAUGAAAGGAACAUUUAGAGAGAUUCAGGUGCCUAAAUAUAAGUGCUGUCUAAUGUCAUUUCAGAAGUUCUGAGAAUCCCAUCUGGCUUGCAGCUGCUGCUCCAGCAGGGCAGGAAUCCUUCCAUAAAUCCUGUCUCAGAGCUGCCAACCCGGUUAGACAACUCCAGCAACCACUGUCAUCUACAAAGGCAUUAUCUUUAGGUACCUGAACUUCCCCAUUUAAAUUACAUUUGAGCACUGAAAACAAAGAGUCAUCAGAUAAACUCAGAUAUAACUUCACCCAGGAUUUCAUAGCCACAGUGCAAGAUUACUCUGAUUUCUCUGCUUCAGUCAUUCAUGCUUAGUUUCAGGUUUAUUGCUUCUCAAGGGUCUCUGGCCAAUUUUGGCAAAGUAGCUGACAAAUCAGUAUUGGCUGUAUGCACGUAGUCUGAGGAAAUGCUUGUCUGCAUUCAAAAACUGGCAGACGUGGCAUUCCCGGUCACUUUACUAAUCCUCAUAUAACAGGAGUUUAAAGUUAGAAUCAUGCAAGUUUCGCUUUUUCUUACUCCAUUUCCUGGUUUAAUAUGCUGGGUUUGGAUUUUUUUUUGACAGAAAGUCAUUCACGAAGUAGACAUUGCUUGCAGUGACAGAGAAGGGAAAAAAGUCUCUGGAGUCUCAAGGCAGGAAUAAGAAUGUGCAGAAAAGAUGAAAAGUCCGCGCUGAGGCUAUGCAGGCACCUGCAAUGUUAUUCCUAUCUGGUCAGAAAUUAGGGAAGGACUCGGGAGCGCCUCCGCCCCAUUCCUGCCCCAGGCUGUGAGAGGGCGGCAGGAGAAAUAGCUCUGCUCUGACCUCUCUUAAGGGAACGCCGAUGACUUCCAAGAAACCUCGCUCUGCUGCAUGAAAUUCAGAUUAUUCUGAGAAAUGAUAUAAAAAGAUAACGUUUUAUAUCUGUGCAUCA